Molecule: transfer RNA, 73 nt
Filed under: Bos indicus (zebu cattle)
Lineage: Eukaryota; Metazoa; Chordata; Mammalia; Artiodactyla; Bovidae
Rfam family: tRNA
About the family: Transfer RNA (tRNA) molecules are approximately 80 nucleotides in length. Their secondary structure includes four short double-helical elements and three loops (D, anti-codon, and T loops). Further hydrogen bonds mediate the characteristic L-shaped molecular structure. tRNAs have two regions of fundamental functional importance: the anti-codon, which is responsible for specific mRNA codon recognition, and the 3' end, to which the tRNAs corresponding amino acid is attached (by aminoacyl-tRNA synthetases). tRNAs cope with the degeneracy of the genetic code in two manners: having more than one tRNA (with a specific anti-codon) for a particular amino acid; and 'wobble' base-pairing, i.e. permitting non-standard base-pairing at the 3rd anti-codon position.
Source: Rfam by way of RNAcentral
UCCCUGGGAGUCCAGCGGUUAAGACUCCUCACUUGCACUGCCGGGGGUGCAGGUUUGAUUCCUGGCCAGGGAA